RNAcentral lists this ribosomal RNA (600 nucleotides) under uncultured bacterium. RNAcentral describes it as "bacterial SSU rRNA". It matches the Rfam family "Bacterial small subunit ribosomal RNA", at positions 739 to 1339 of the family's 1533-position model. The record is from RNAcentral.
ACUGACGCUCAUGCACGAAAGCGUGGGUAUCGAACAGGAUUAGAUACCCUGGUAGUCCACGCGGUAAACGAUGAUAACUAGUUAUUCGGCGCGACUGAGCGCUGAGUGACCGAGCGAAAGCGUUAAGUUAUCCACCUGGGGAGUACGCCGGCAACGGUGAAACUCAAAGGAAUUGACGGGGGCCCGCACAAGCGGAGGAACAUGUGGUUUAAUUCGAUGAUACGCGAGGAACCUUACCCGGGCUCAAACGCAGCGCGACAGACCCUGAAAGGGGUUUUUCUUCGGACGCGCUGCGAGGUGCUGCAUGGUUGUCGUCAGCUCGUGCCGUGAGGUGUCGGCUUAAGUGCCAUAACGAGCGCAACCCCCAUCUUCAGUCGCCCCCGGGUAAAGCCGGGCACUCUGGAGAGACUGCCGGCGCAAGCUGUGAGGAAGGCGGGGAUGACGUCAAAUCAGCACGGCCCUUACGUCCGGGGCGACACACGUGUUACAAUGGCGGGGCAACAGAGGGAAGCCAGGCGGCGACGCCGAGCGGAUCCCGAAAACCCGUCUCAGUUCGGAUCGGAGUCUGCAACCCGACUCCGUGAAGCUGGAUUCGCUAGU